AAGCCUCAGUCUCAACUGCGUUAGACCGAGCUCUGCAGCUCAGAUGAAUAAGAGCAUUUUGGUGCCCUAACUGCCAGACCAGCCGAUGGAGAGAGGGAUGUGAAGCUGCCUGAGAUGAGCUGAUGACAGGAGAGGAUGACCAGAACUGAAUUCAAUUAUCCAGAUCCAGAGCUGAUGUAAAUCAGCAUAACUACAUUGAAAUCAAUUCUCCAGCUGAAGGUGUAGCCCAGCGUUCUAGCCCAUGUACCUGGUAAGUGUACCACCAUCCUGCCGUCAGAAGGUCAAACCCAUCAGAGACAACAGAACAGAGCUUCUCUCAUGUACCAAAAUUAGAGUAUGCAUGAGUAG
Long non-coding RNA from Mauremys mutica (yellowpond turtle), 348 nucleotides. RefSeq lists it as uncharacterized. NCBI's taxonomy places the organism in Eukaryota, Metazoa, Chordata, Testudines, Geoemydidae. The record is from RefSeq and is a predicted model, not a curated record. The transcript has 3 exons.